Small nuclear RNA from Marmota marmota marmota (Alpine marmot), 83 nucleotides. Its record names the gene U4. It matches the Rfam family "U4 spliceosomal RNA". Rfam says of the family: U4 small nuclear RNA (U4 snRNA) is a component of the major U2-dependent spliceosome. The structure of U4 snRNA from yeast and human has been reported. NCBI's taxonomy places the organism in Eukaryota, Metazoa, Chordata, Mammalia, Rodentia, Sciuridae. The record is from Ensembl.
AGCUUUGUGAAGUGGCAGUAUUAUAACCAAUGAGGUUUAUCAGAGGCAUGAUUAUUGCUAAUUCAUAGGACCAUACUGACGGC